Molecule: long non-coding RNA, 311 nt
Organism: Lineus longissimus
Lineage: Eukaryota; Metazoa; Nemertea; Pilidiophora; Heteronemertea; Lineidae
Exons: 3
Source: RefSeq, a predicted model, not a curated record
CCAACUUGCAUGAUCAAGGCAGUCAUCCACACGAACUUUCUCAAACGUGUGAGUUUGUAUUUCCGACUAAUUGACAAUUUGGAAAAGCAAGGCUAUAUCAGCACCCGAAUUCGUAGUAAAAACGUGAAGAUGCAACGACUCCCAUUAAUGCUAUUCGGCAUUUUGGUACUCCUGGUAAUCAGCCAAGUGUCGGCGGCAGAAGUAGAAGACGAUGAAAUAGACCAUGCUUUCGAAGCAUUCGUGAAAAGGCGCACCAACAAGCGUGGCUUCUGGGUUGAACCACUUAAACCGGACUUCAGUCUCUUGAAGAA